AACGUAGGGGGCGAGCGUUGUCCGGAAUUACUGGGCGUAAAGCGAGCGCAGGUGGUUUAAUAAGUCUGAUGUAAAAGGCAGUGGCUCAACCAUUGUGUGCAUUGGAAACUGUUAGACUUGAGUGCAGUAGAGGAGAGUGGAAUUCCAUGUGUAGCGGUGAAAUGCGUAGAUAUAUGGAGGAACACCGGUGGCGAAAGCGGCUCUCUGGACUGUAACUGACACUGAGGCUCGAAAGCGUGGGUAGCAAACAGG
This 252-nucleotide ribosomal RNA is filed under the name uncultured microorganism. RNAcentral's name for it is "partial 16S ribosomal RNA". It matches the Rfam family "Bacterial small subunit ribosomal RNA", at positions 524 to 776 of the family's 1533-position model. The record is from RNAcentral.